AAAUCAGACAUAUGACAACGUUCUGCAAGCAUACUUUGUAUGUUUGAAUAUCUUCUUCCAUGAUCUUGAACCGUCAAGGUUCCAGUUGAGACUGCGACGUGGUACUUCGCCGUAUCUGAAUAGCGUACAUUCCAAAAGCGCAAUCGGUUCCAACCGAGAUGGCCCAGGCGGAGAGAGCUCCCGUGGAUUCCCAGCCGUAGAGAAGCCAGUGCACGACUCCUCCCGGUACAAAGGAAAAGGGAUAGAGGCAGGGGUAGACGCGCAGGUACUUGCCGUACUUGAGAAAUGAAAAGAGCGGCACGAUGCAGUACAUGGACAUGAUGAAUGCUAUCGUGGUCUUGUACAUCGUCACGAAUACGGCGAACAUUCGCAUGUUUGACAAGAGAUCUGGUAGAUUCUCCGGGUUCUUCAUGUCGCUCAUGAACUUUUCGAAAAGCUUAUGUUGCCGGCUCUCGCGUUACCUUAGAAGAUAUCGAAAGAAAACUGGAUGCUGCUGCCAAGCCUCUGACUAGUAUCCUCACGUUUUGAGCAUUGUGCAAGCUGAAGUUAAGCGUGUGUGCCAUUAUCGAAAACGUUGAGAAAAAGAUUGGCAGACGACUGAUUACUAACCUCAUCAGCUAUGAGGUUCCCGUACCAGGCAUACAUGAAGAUUUGAAGAUACUUGGCCAGAAGAUGAGAACACAGCUACAUAACGGUUGCAACGCGAGGCAGCUUCAUCGCCGUCCUUACUGUGAUUAAUCAAAUUUCAUCGCCUGAACUUGCUGAUCAAUCCAUCUGAAGGCUCGAAAACUCUCAACCUGAGAAAAAAAAGAUAACAAUUGUAAUACGUACUUCGAAGAAUGGUAACCAAAAUGCUAAACACAUUCCUUUUGGGCACGGAGGAAAAAAUUGUAUGUAUCGACAUGAUGGUUGUCUCCCUUUUACUACCUUCAAUUCAACGCGAACGUACUAUAAGAAGAAGAACAAGAACAAGAAGAAUCAUUGCGUCCGUGUUCAAGAAACUGAAGUAAAUGUCACCAUCACACGUUUAAAAACAAAAAUAACCUUCUUGGACAAUAUUGACCGGUCAUCGAGAUUAAGAGUCCUAGCUAAAGUAAUUUACUUUAUUAUAUUACAUGAUCGAAGUUACCUACGAAGACGAUUGAUAUACCUGCUAGCUUCUACAACGCGUCGAGAUCUGAAGAGAAGAGAAACUUCAUGCCUGGACCAAUCUGAAGAAGCAGUAAUAAUCAAGCUAAAAUUACACAACUACAUCUGUAAUAAACUUGGAUGAAACUUACCAGUAGAAGAGCUUUGCCGUUAACGUACUUGUUGAAUUUUCUUGAUUUUGGCAUCAUUUGUUGCACAGCAUGACUGACAAGCUGAAAAC
Nasonia vitripennis (jewel wasp) is the source of this 1369-nucleotide long non-coding RNA. RefSeq lists it as uncharacterized. NCBI's taxonomy places the organism in Eukaryota, Metazoa, Arthropoda, Insecta, Hymenoptera, Pteromalidae. The transcript is spliced from 8 exons. The record is from RefSeq and is a predicted model, not a curated record.